RNAcentral lists this unclassified non-coding RNA (301 nucleotides) under Hevea brasiliensis (rubber tree). Lineage: Eukaryota; Viridiplantae; Streptophyta; Magnoliopsida; Malpighiales; Euphorbiaceae. The record is from RNAcentral.
AAUGAUUUGGGGUAGCUAAAUGUUAAAAUGUUGUCUAGUUUUAAGUCCAUAAAAAUUGUAACAAACUGUCAAUUGGCUCUGAGAUAACUGUUGAGGCAAAAUCUUAAUAUUAUACAUGCAGAGUUGUCAGAGAUGAACCAGGUGCUCACCCUAUGUGCUUGGGUGAUGCAAGGUGCUUGAGGCACCCACCCCGUUCACUUGAUGCUUAUUUGCUUAAUUUUGUUUCUUGUUACGGAAUUCACUUCUUAAUUAUAGACUUGAGAGGCAAAUGUGCCAAAGCUUGACAUACCAAUUAUAAAAU